GACGAGGGAUCCUAGCGUUGUUCGGAAUCAUUGGGCGUAAAGCGGAUGUAGGUGGCUUUGUAAGUCGGGUGUGAAAGCCCAGGGCUCAACCCUGGAAGUGCAUUCGAUACUGAAGAGCUCGAGUCCGGGAGAGGUGAGUGGAACUGCGAGUGUAGAGGUGAAAUUCGUAGAUAUUCGCAAGAACACCAGUGGCGAAGGCGGCUCACUGGCCCGGUACUGACGCUGAGGUGCGAAAGCGUGGGGAGCAAACAGG
Molecule: ribosomal RNA, 253 nt
Filed under: uncultured prokaryote
Description: partial 16S ribosomal RNA
Rfam family: Bacterial small subunit ribosomal RNA
Source: RNAcentral